UAGGGAAUCUUCGGCAAUGGGGGGAACCCUGACCGAGCAACGCCGCGUGAGUGAAGAAGGUUUUCGGAUCGUAAAGCUCUGUUGUUAAGGAAGAACGAGUGUGAGAAUGGAAAGUUCAUACUUUGACGGUACUUAACCAUAAAGGGACGGCUAACUACGUGCUAGCAGCCGCGGUAAUACGUAGGUCCCGAGCGUUGUCCGGAUUUAUUGGGCGUAAAGCGAGCGCAGGCGGUUAGAUAAGUCUGAAGUUAAAGGCAGUGGCUCAACCAUUGUAGGUAUUGGAAACAGUUUAACUUGAGUGCAGAAGGGGAGAGAGGAAUUCAAUGUGUAACGGUGAAAUGCGUAGAUAUAUGGAGGAACACCGGUGGCGAAAGCGGCUCUCUGGUCUGUAACUGACGCUGAGGCUCGAAAGCGUGGGGAGCGAACAGG
RNAcentral lists this ribosomal RNA (429 nucleotides) under Bacteroidota bacterium. RNAcentral describes it as "Bacteroidetes bacterium partial 16S ribosomal RNA". It matches the Rfam family "Bacterial small subunit ribosomal RNA", at positions 355 to 776 of the family's 1533-position model. Lineage: Bacteria; Pseudomonadati; Bacteroidota. The record is from RNAcentral.